AUGGCACACUCGUGCCUUCUGUGCCACCGAAGCCCCGAAGUGCCCAGGCAUAUACCUUCACAUGUAAGUAAACGAAUGUAUCUCCUUGUUGAGAAUAUCACGCGAGUAGGCAGUUCUUGUGGGGCAUCACAAUCGUUUGAGAAGCGUCACAGAAGAGCAUUUUUCUACAUGCGGAGCGGCUUUUUUAUUUGCAGGUUUCCCUUCAGUAGGAAAUUGCUGGACAGGCGGACCAGCGCACCGGAAUUGUACUGGCGAAGCCACAAGCAACUCAAAGAAUCUGUUUAAUUGUUGCACUUUGAACAAUCAUGCUUCUACAAAGGCCACAGCAGAAAAACAGCCUGAUGCCGAGUAUUUCUGUGCCCCGAAGUAAUCAAGAGGCGAGUGCCUAAUGCGGACGAAAUCGAGUGCAUCGAGACUUAGAACGACAGAAAGCUGAGCUAGUUGAUAUGCAAUGGCAAGCCCUUCCGUUUGUUCCAAAGGUAAAAUUUAAGCUCUAAAUUAAAGAAGACAUUUCUAGUCAGAAACAAGCAAAAAUUGCGAGUGCAGAAUAUCAGAAGCCCAAGGUACAGAAACUAUGAGAAGUGUCAAAUGAUUUUAAGGAAAGAAUGGUAUUUGAAGAUGCAAGAUUCUUUAGUGGAAAUCAAGCAAGUCAGUAUAGGUAGAAUACUCUGAGAAGUUAUGCGAGUAAUGGGAUAGCACACAAUGGGUCAGGAAAUGCGUUGUUUUUCUGAAAAACUAAAGCUGAUGACUGUCAUAUCAUGAGUCACUUUAGCAUCAUGAGAUUGCUGUUUGAUAAAUUCAGAAACAAACCAAAAAGCAAGCCAUGCAAAAAAAAAACUAUUUAAUGAUGCUCUCUCCACACUGGGAUAAAUAAUAAGAAACGGAUCACGUCUAAUGUGGACAUAUCAGACACCUUGUGAAACACUAAAGGAAAAAUUCAGUUUCGAGCUAUGGCACUUGCCGCAUAGAUGUGGGGGGCCUUGCACCAAUAGUAAUAGUUACCACUGCAUCUAAAAAUUUAAAGCAUUCAUGCAGACAAGGAUGAUUCUUUAUAUUUUUGGCUACCACUUCAAAUGCCUCCACUAAGUGUUACAAUGCUGCACGCAGCCAUACUAAGGAUCUCACAGCAACACUUGCAGGUAAACAGCAAAAACAGUCAAAGUGCUGGUGUAUUCUGGACACUGUCUUUGAAAACUUUUAGGCAAGAACAGUGCAAGAAACAGACAUAAGAACUGCAUUUAUUUCUAUAAUUCCCCAUUUGAAUGGCCGUUUCUUUUUCCUUCGACAAUGCCUUCGCCUAGCCACAACAGCUCCCUCAUACAGACUCAGCAAGCCAAGAGGCCGUGGAGGCAAAUGCAGACAGCCAGCACACCUCGAACAGCCACCUUGACUGCGGGUGUGUCACCCUAGUCGCCAAGGGAACAUUUGAGGGAAAGCGACAGGCAAUGUGAACAGCGACUUCUCCAUGUAAACGAUACUCUUUCUCUCGGAUGACUCCUACGUUCGCCACGCCAGCACACUUGUGCACAAAGAUGCCGCGGAGGCA
This is a non-coding RNA of Dermacentor andersoni, 1546 nucleotides long. The record is from RefSeq and is a predicted model, not a curated record. NCBI's taxonomy places the organism in Eukaryota, Metazoa, Arthropoda, Arachnida, Ixodida, Ixodidae.